RNAcentral lists this ribosomal RNA (892 nucleotides) under uncultured crenarchaeote VAL20. RNAcentral's name for it is "bacterial SSU rRNA". It matches the Rfam family "Archaeal small subunit ribosomal RNA", at positions 1 to 872 of the family's 1478-position model. The record is from RNAcentral. Lineage: Archaea; Thermoproteati; Thermoproteota.
UUCCGGUUGAUCCUGCCGGACCCUACUGCUAUCGGGAUGGGACUAAGACAUGCUAGUCGAGCGCCUCCUAGCCACGCUGGAGGCGCGGCACACAGCUCAGUAACACGUGGCUAACCUGCCCUUGGGACGGAAACAUCCCCGGGAAACUGGGGCCAAUUUCCGAUAGGCGAAGGUCUCUGGAACGAGUCUUCACCCAAAAGACGUUUGGGGCAUGCUCCUAGACGUUGCCCAAGGAUGGGGCCGCGGCCGAUCAGGUUGUUGGUGAGGUAACGGCUCACCAAGCCUAUUACCGGUACGGCCGUGGGAGCGGUAGCCCGGAGAUGGGCACUGAGACAAGGGCCCAGGCCCUACGGGGCGCAGCAGUCGCGAAAACUUCGCAAUAAGCGAAAGCUUGACGAGGCCAUCCCGAGUGCCAUCUGCUGAGGAUGGCUUUUACCUAGUAUAGAUAGCUAGGGGAAUAAGGAGAGGGCAAGUCUGGUGUCAGCCGCCGCGGUAAUACCAGCUCUCCGAGUUGUGGGGACAUUUAUUGGGCCUAAAGCAUCCGUAGCCGGCUGAACAAGUCCCCUGUUAAAUCCAGCGACGAAUCGUUGGCCUGCGGGGGAUACUGUUCGGCUAGGGGGCGGGAGAGGCCGUCGGUAUUCUUGGGGUAGGGGUGAAAUCCUAUAAUCCCAGGAGGACCACCAGUGGCGAAGGCUGUCGGCUAGAACGCGCCCGACGGUGAGGGAUGAAAGCUGGGGGAGCGAACCGGAUUAGAUACCCGGGUAGUCCCAGCUGUAAACGAUGCAGGCUAGGUGUUAGGGCGGCUACGUGCCGCUCUAGUGCCGCAGGAAGCUGUUAAGCCUGCCGCCUGGGGAGUACGGCCGCAAGGCUGAAACUUAAAGGAAUUGGCGGG